GGGGAUGUGGCUCAGUGGCAGAGCACUUGCCUAGCAUGUGUGAGGCCUUGACUUCAAUUCUCAGCACCACA
RNAcentral lists this transfer RNA (71 nucleotides) under Marmota monax (woodchuck). RNAcentral's name for it is "tRNA.Ala". Lineage: Eukaryota; Metazoa; Chordata; Mammalia; Rodentia; Sciuridae. The record is from RNAcentral.